This 86-nucleotide transfer RNA is filed under the name Brevundimonas aurantiaca. RNAcentral's name for it is "tRNA-Leu". The record is from RNAcentral. Lineage: Bacteria; Pseudomonadati; Pseudomonadota; Alphaproteobacteria; Caulobacterales; Caulobacteraceae.
AGUAUCAGUGGUUUGAUGCUGGCGUGUGUGACUUAAAAUCUGCCGGGCGAAAGCCCUUGCCGGUUCGAUCCCGGCCGCCCGCACCA